This is a long non-coding RNA of Heterocephalus glaber (naked mole-rat), 868 nucleotides long. Lineage: Eukaryota; Metazoa; Chordata; Mammalia; Rodentia; Bathyergidae. The record is from Ensembl.
GUAUCACAGCCUGAAAUCAAGACAUCGGCCAAGCCUGGCUCUUCCCUGGAGAUUGUGGGAAAGAACCUGCCUCUCAGGCCAUUCCACUGUUGGCAGAGUUCACUUCUUUGUGUGGGGAGAAGAGAUUUCAGGCACAGGAAGUUCUUGUGAUAGCUUUCUUCAGAGAUGGAGGAAGGCUUCAAGGAGCUGAGAGUGGCCCCCAGCUGACAGUCAGCAAAGACUGGGAACCUCAAUUCUAUACCUGCAAGAACUGAAUUUUGCCAACAAUUAAAUGACCUUGGAGGUCUCCUGCUAAACUCUCACUCCAUAUCACCUCUCAAAUGACAUCACAGGACAUUAUUUGUUUAUGUACCAAGAAGUCCAGAGGUGGUACAGCAGCUGAUAGACAAGAAGGAUCACCACAUCAUUGUCCUAAGGGUGUAGACACAGCAGACCGUAUUUCCCAAAGAUGGAUUCAAUGAUAUAACCAGGCCCUGCGGCGAGGGAGCCAAGCGCUACUUCUGUAGACACAAAGCAUGGAUGGUGGCCAGAACCCACUCUGAAAGGCAGCGUCACACAGGCGAAUCACUUCUACCCUGCGCCUCGGUGUGACCUGUGCAUCUGUGGAAGGAAAGGUUUUCUUCUGGCUCCUUGGCACAGAGCAGCCGGAGCAGAAAGGAAGUGCUGGGUGCUGGCCAGCAAGUUGUGGAGGCUGUGUGGUGCCCAAGUCAGACUCAGCACCACCUCUAGCCACUGAUACUGGGAUCUGGCAAACAAGCCCUAAUCACUUAAUGAGCAAUGAAAAUGGUGCCUCCUUCCUCUACUUAAUUGCCCCUUUGAAAACAACACACAGGAGAUUUAUGGUCCCACCAUAAUUGCCUCAUAAAAC